CAGUCGAGCGGUAAGGCCUUUCGGGGUACACGAGCGGCGAACGGGUGAGUAACACGUGGGUGAUCUGCCCUGCACUCUGGGAUAAGCUUGGGAAACUGGGUCUAAUACCGGAUAUGACCGCAUGCCGCAUGGUGUGUGGUGGAAAGAUUUAUCGGUGCAGGAUGGGCCCGCGGCCUAUCAGCUUGUUGGUGGGGUAANGGCCUACCAAGGCGACGACGGGUAGCCGACCUGAGAGGGUGACCGGCCACACUGGGACUGAGACACGGCCCAGACUCCUACGGGAGGCAGCAGUGGGGAAUAUUGCACAAUGGGCGGAAGCCUGAUGCAGCGACGCCGCGUGAGGGAUGAAGGCCUUCGGGUUGUAAACCUCUUUCAGCAGGGACGAAGCGUGAGUGACGGUACCUGCAGAAGAAGCACCGGCUAACUACGUGCCAGCAGCCGCGGUAAUACGUAGGGUGCGAGCGUUGUCCGGAAUUACUGGGCGUAAAGAGUUCGUAGGCGGUUUGUCGCGUCGUUUGUGAAAACCCGGGGCUCAACUUCGGGCUUGCAGGCGAUACGGGCAGACUUGAGUGUUUCAGGGGAGACUGGAAUUCCUGGUGUAGCGGUGAAAUGCGCAGAUAUCAGGAGGAACACCGGUGGCGAAGGCGGGUCUCUGGGAAACAACUGACGCUGAGGAACGAAAGCGUGGGUAGCAAACAGGAUUAGAUACCCUGGUAGUCCACGCCGUANACGGUGGGCGC
Molecule: ribosomal RNA, 740 nt
Filed under: Gram-positive bacterium SY222
Lineage: Bacteria
Description: bacterial SSU rRNA
Rfam family: Bacterial small subunit ribosomal RNA
Source: RNAcentral